Molecule: transfer RNA, 67 nt
Filed under: Echinostoma revolutum
Lineage: Eukaryota; Metazoa; Platyhelminthes; Trematoda; Plagiorchiida; Echinostomatidae
Description: tRNA-Arg
Source: RNAcentral
UAUUUGAUAUUCCUUUGGGAGAUUACGUUUCGGCCGUAAUUUUGGGAAAGUUUUCUCUAUCAAAGGU